Molecule: long non-coding RNA, 1690 nt
Filed under: Lactuca sativa (garden lettuce)
Lineage: Eukaryota; Viridiplantae; Streptophyta; Magnoliopsida; Asterales; Asteraceae
Description: long non-coding RNA (LSAT_LNC001111)
Source: RNAcentral
AAACAAAAAACAUUUUUUUACUGUUACAUUCUAUAAAAAUACAAUAUCAUUUUUGAAUUUUUGUCACGAUCUAUAAGAAUAUAAGAUUUAUAGUAAGUCAUUCUUAAAGACUGAAACUAAGAAUGGUUAAAAAAACAUCAAAAUCUAACAAAAACACUAAUUCAUUCUUAAAGAAUAUUAUUGCUAAGAAUCACAUCAAAUUUUGUGGUAAAUAUUCUAAAUAUUCUGACAGAACAUAUUUGCCUAGAAUACACUUUCAAUCCAUUUUCUUUCUGUUCCACAUCAAUAACAAUUCAAAACCUAAACCACAAAAAAAAUAUAAUCAACUUUCAAAUAUUUAAAAUUUCAUCACAUAUAUGAAACUAAACAUUAUCUUUUCCUUUGGCUUCAUGAACUUCUUGCUUCAUUAUCAACAUCCUUGAAUUUAUCAUCCACUUAAUCAAAAAUGUUAAAUAUUCCAUCAUCUUCCUCGUGCAUAUAGUUAGUCACAACAGAUGUUUGAUUAACAAUUCUACAAUAAAGUAAUAAUAAAAUUAACAAAAAUUUUUAUGCAGGUUUUGUAAUACACGAAAUGAACAUUAAUAUAUAAAAAAAUUACAUUGUAAACACAAAUUCCAAUUAACUUAAUUAAGAAUAGAAAAUAAACACAAAAUAAAAAGGUUUUGAUUUUGUGGAAUAUGCAGUGAAGGUUUAUUAUCAUUGAAAACAUAGUGCAUUGUAAAUAAAAUUACAAACACCCAAAGAAACCAUCUACAUACUUAGUGAUUUGAGGGUAUGUGGAAUGAUGGCUAAGAAUCUGACGGAAUCUAAACCCAUUUCACAUAAUCCCAAAUCAUUUUUAACCAACGACAAAAUGGAAUAAAAUUCAAGUACAAUUUCACCAAAUCCCAUGGAAUCUGGCACCCCCUGUAAGAUGCACAUCAAAAUAGGAACCGAAACAAAAAAUUACCUGUAAGAUGCAUUUGCAUUUGUAUCACCAUUUCCAGUAACAGAUUUGAGUAAAAAGUAUGUUAAGCACACAUACAUGUUCUAAAAAACACCAAAUUUUGUUGAAAAUUAUUCUUUGGCAUUACAUUGAACACUUGGAAGGCACACUGAAAUGACCCUUACCAUUUACCAAUUUCCAAUAAUAAGGAUUCCCCAUAUGAAUUAAAUCUUAUUAACGAUUGCAUAUGAGAUUGAUAAUGAAAAAAGGAACAACAUUUAUGGAAACCCAUUGGAAUUUCAAAUCAAAACUGAAUGGGGUAAUCGAUUGCAUAUUGGAAUCGAUGAGAAUGUGUAUUUGUAAGAAAGAAGGAGAGAGACAGUGAGGGACGUCAUACCGUAGGGUUUUGGUGAUGAAAAUUCGAGCAGGUGGAAGAAAUUCGUUCCUUCUCUCUGUAUUAAGGGCAUCGAUAGUGUGUGAAGAUAAUGAAGCGGAUAUGAACGAUUGCACAGGGUUAAUCAGAUUUUAUUGUAACUGUACAUUGAACGCACGUCGAUUGAACGAGCCCUGGAGGGUUGGUUCCCGAUUCUGAUUUCGAUUUUGAAGUUGUUCCAUCCAACGAUCAUGUCAUCUUCGAACGUGGGUGGGUUAGGAUUGAUUGCCGGAUAAGAGAUUAAGAUGCGUAUAAUUGCAGAAGUGGGAGGGAUAUGAUUUUGUGGGUGGUGAAGAUGGAAGAGGCAAUAGGUUUUAAAUAGAGUAAUUUGC